RNAcentral lists this microRNA precursor (151 nucleotides) under Glycine max (soybean). RNAcentral describes it as "miR5039 stem-loop (gma-MIR5039)". Lineage: Eukaryota; Viridiplantae; Streptophyta; Magnoliopsida; Fabales; Fabaceae. The record is from miRBase by way of RNAcentral.
UUACACAUUCAGGUACAAAAAUGACUAUUUAUCCAAAAUAUAAUUUAAUAUUCAUUUUCUCCCUUUUUUAAUCGUUGCAUGCAUAACAUUACAAUAAUCACUUGUAACGAUUAAAAAAAAGGAGAAAAGAUGAAGAUUAAAUUAUAUUUUG